Bombus impatiens (common eastern bumble bee) is the source of this 406-nucleotide long non-coding RNA. RefSeq lists it as uncharacterized. The transcript has 2 exons. Lineage: Eukaryota; Metazoa; Arthropoda; Insecta; Hymenoptera; Apidae. The record is from RefSeq and is a predicted model, not a curated record.
AAUCUUGCACAAACGUGCGUCACGUUAAACUGGUACCGUCUCCCGAUGAAACAGGCUCGGUAUGUGGUACUAAUGAUGAUUAUGUCGAAUGAUCCGAUGAAAUUGACUGCGGUGAAAGUGAUGGAUGUAUCUUUAUCGACCUUUAGCGAUAUUAUGAAAGCGUCAAUGGGAUAUUUAAAUAUGCUACGGAACGUGACUUAAUGUCUUAUUAAUUUUGCACAAAACUUAUGAGGCGUAGUAUAGUGUCACUUAGAGAUCUUAUAGCAAUGAAUGCCGAGGUAUAUUUUUUAUUUUAGUUUGCUAGAUUUUACAGUUCCUGGACUACGUGUUUCCAGACACUUAUGCAAAUACCGAAAUUUCAAAAUUUCUUGUAUAAUAACUGCAUGUAAUAUAUUUCUGAAAGCUU